This 331-nucleotide ribosomal RNA is filed under the name Paenibacillus polymyxa. Its description in RNAcentral is "bacterial SSU rRNA". It matches the Rfam family "Bacterial small subunit ribosomal RNA", at positions 1 to 1139 of the family's 1533-position model. The record is from RNAcentral. Lineage: Bacteria; Bacillati; Bacillota; Bacilli; Caryophanales; Paenibacillaceae.
UUAAUGGAGAGUUUGAUCCUGGCUCAGGACGAACGCUGGCGGCGUGCCUAAUACAUGCAAGUCCCUGGGGAGUACGGUCGCAAGACUGAAACUCAAAGGAAUUGACGGGGACCCGCACAAGCAGUGGAGUAUGUGGUUUAAUUCGAAGCAACGCGAAGAACCUUACCAGGUCUUGACAUCCCUCUGACCGCUGUAGAGAUAUGGCUUUCCUUCGGGACAGAGGAGACAGGUGGUGCAUGGUUGUCGUCAGCUCGUGUCGUGAGAUGUUGGGUUAAGUCCCGCAACGAGCGCAACCCUUAUGCUUAGUUGCCAGCAGGUCAAGCUGGGCACU